RNAcentral lists this transfer RNA (80 nucleotides) under Pseudochlorella signiensis. RNAcentral's name for it is "tRNA-Leu". It matches the Rfam family "tRNA". From Rfam's summary of the family: Transfer RNA (tRNA) molecules are approximately 80 nucleotides in length. Their secondary structure includes four short double-helical elements and three loops (D, anti-codon, and T loops). Further hydrogen bonds mediate the characteristic L-shaped molecular structure. tRNAs have two regions of fundamental functional importance: the anti-codon, which is responsible for specific mRNA codon recognition, and the 3' end, to which the tRNAs corresponding amino acid is attached (by aminoacyl-tRNA synthetases). tRNAs cope with the degeneracy of the genetic code in two manners: having more than one tRNA (with a specific anti-codon) for a particular amino acid; and 'wobble' base-pairing, i.e. permitting non-standard base-pairing at the 3rd anti-codon position. The record is from RNAcentral. Lineage: Eukaryota; Viridiplantae; Chlorophyta; Trebouxiophyceae; Chlorellales; Chlorellaceae.
GCCCUGGUGGUGAAAUGGUAGACACGAGUGAUUCAAAAUCAGUUGCGUAAUGCGUGGAGGUUCAAGUCCUCUUCAGGGCA